This 253-nucleotide ribosomal RNA is filed under the name uncultured bacterium. RNAcentral's name for it is "partial 16S ribosomal RNA". It matches the Rfam family "Bacterial small subunit ribosomal RNA", at positions 524 to 776 of the family's 1533-position model. The record is from RNAcentral.
UACGUAGGGUGCAAGCGUUAAUCGGAAUUACUGGGCGUAAAGCGUGCGCAGGCGGUUUUGUAAGCCAGGUGUGAAAUCCCCGGGCUCAACCUGGGAAUGGCAUUUGGGACUGCAAGGCUGGAGUGCGGCAGAGGAGACUGGAAUUCCUGGUGUAGCAGUGAAAUGCGUAGAUAUCAGGAGGAACACCGAUGGCGAAGGCAGGUCUCUGGGCUGACACUGACGCUCAUGCACGAAAGCGUGGGGAGCAAACAGG